CUGGCCCCGAAUCAAGGUCAGCAGUUUGCUGAAGCUGUUGGUUUUAAGCAAGAGUCUAAGGAAAUGUCUUUCUGUGGUCUGUUGGUCAUUUCAGAACUUAGGAAAUGUAAUGGCCAUUCAUUAGGAAGAAACAUCU
Artibeus jamaicensis (Jamaican fruit-eating bat) is the source of this 136-nucleotide small nucleolar RNA. NCBI's taxonomy places the organism in Eukaryota, Metazoa, Chordata, Mammalia, Chiroptera, Phyllostomidae. The record is from RefSeq and is a predicted model, not a curated record.